GACAAGUCCUGGGCCCCUGUAAUUUGAAAUUUGUAAUGUAGGAUGCAGUUGGACUCUAGGUGGUGUCCUAGAUUGACACAAGAUGUCUGGAGCUGUUAUCAUGCAGCACCUUGACUUUUGUAGUAACUUUCUUUCAGAGCAGAUGGAUUAAACCUGUGGCAGAGUGCCCCACACCAGGUGAGGGGGUUCCCAUGGGAGGGUCAGUCACUGUUUAUCUUUGCAGGGGCAGUGUAAAUAAUGCCUAUGUUACAGCAUUGUUCCUUGUCUUUAUUUUCAGGAAGUAAUACUGGAUACCAGCGGUCAAAGGUGAUGGAAUGAGGUGAGUGGUGACCAGUGGACAGAACAAGUUUUUAUGGCUUGGGUCCCAGGUUCUGGUGCAGCUCUAAGCACCCACUGUUGUUUGUGCAUUUCAGGUGGUCCACUUGCAAACACCCAGGGGAGGCCAGGCCCUGCCACUGCCCUCAGAAUGCCUAGGAACAGAGCAAACAGGAUUUCUCUGGGCCAUCCAUCCAGAUUAGAUGAAAAGUUGAGGUAUCUGUGAGCAGGUAUGGAGCUGAAGUUUGGAAACAGCAGGUAAGUGAUAAGCUUUGGCAAUUACAAGGGAG
Molecule: long non-coding RNA, 605 nt
Filed under: Cyanistes caeruleus (blue tit)
Lineage: Eukaryota; Metazoa; Chordata; Aves; Passeriformes; Paridae
Description: lncRNA (ENSCCEG00000005374.1)
Source: RNAcentral